ACACCUCAACUCUCAUGGUUUGCCAUGAUGAGCUUGGACUUUGGGGGUCUUGCCGGCCUGUGGGUCGGCUCCUCUCAAAUGAAUCAGCUUGCCGGUGUUUGGUGGCGUCACAGGUGUGAUAACUAUCUACGCUUGUGGUUUUCCAUCAGGUAACCUUCAGUGAUGGAGGUUCGCUGGGGCUCAUAAAUGUCUCUCCUCAGUGAGGACAGCUUUUUAAC
RNAcentral lists this unclassified non-coding RNA (218 nucleotides) under uncultured Tomentella. Its description in RNAcentral is "sequence contains ITS2". The record is from RNAcentral. Lineage: Eukaryota; Fungi; Basidiomycota; Agaricomycetes; Thelephorales; Thelephoraceae.